AGUGAAUAGAUACCCAGGUAGUCCUAGCCGUAAACGAUACUCGCUAGGCGUCGGCCACGGUGCGACCGUUGUCGGUGCCGUAGGGAAAGCCGUGAAGCGAGCCACCUGGGAAGUACGGCCGCAAGGCUGAAACUUAAAGGAAUUGGCGGGGGGAGCACCACAACGGGUGGAGCUUGCGGUUUAAAUUGGAUUCAACGCCGGAAAUCUUACCGGGACCGACAGCAACAUGAAGGCCAGGCUGAAGACUUUACCGGAUUAGCUGAGAGGUGGUGCAUGGCCGUCGUCAGUUCGUACUGUGAAAGCAUCCUGUUAAGUCAGGCAACGAGCGAGACCCACGCCCACAGUUGCCAGCGUACUCUCCGGAGUGACGGGUACACUGUGGGGGUCCGCCGCUGCUAAACGCGGAGGAAGGAA
This 414-nucleotide ribosomal RNA is filed under the name uncultured bacterium. RNAcentral's name for it is "bacterial SSU rRNA". It matches the Rfam family "Archaeal small subunit ribosomal RNA", at positions 723 to 1131 of the family's 1478-position model. The record is from RNAcentral.